AAAUAAGACACCUGUAGGAGUAUAUUAUAGCAUGACCUAACAUUUCAAAAAUGAUAUUUAGAUUCAAGGAUUUGGGGGAAAUAGAGACCAUGGUUGUUUUGUUAACCAAAUUCCAGCCUAGUUAGAAACCACAUGUACACAGCAAAUGAAGAAGUGGCUUAAUGACUAACGGAUGGUGCUAACAUCUCCUCCGUUCAUCACCAGACCCACACUGGUCUUUCUCACAGGUCCUAUUAUGCAAAUCACUAAAACUGUCUUUUUUUUUCUUCUUAUGGCAGGACAAGAGAAGCUGAUUCUCUCCUGACUAACUCCUGACUCCUAGCCCCUAAGUAAGGCACACAGACAUGACUUUCACUUGGGACGUGCCCAUCCUGUGGACAAGCAGACAGGCCAUUCGUCUAGACACAUGUGGAGACUUGAGAACGAAAACUGGGCAUUUUUUCCCUCUCCCCACUUUCUCCCCUGGACCCUCGCCAAAUCUACGCAAGCAAGCAAGCAAGCAAGCGGCUGGGCUGGGCGGCAGGAGGCUCGGUGCACGAUGGUUCCAGCUCUUAAUCGGGGAUGGCACACAUCUUCACACUGGCCCUGUGCAGCUGAACUUUCGCCCUAGUUGGUUUAAAUCCAGCAAACAGCCGUGAUUUGUUCUAAUUUAUCAUUCCGGACUGCGCUGUGAGGUUUGUGUCAUUACUCUUCCUUUUUAAUGUCAUAUAUUUUGAACUGAUUGACUUCUCCAAAAACUUAUGGUUAUUAUUUAAGAGAAAAGAACUGAGAGAAAGUUUUCUUGCACUUGGAUGAGAAGAGGCGGGGAACUGUCCGCACCUUUGUCUAUCUGAAUGGGGUAUUGGGAGGCAGGUGGAGGCAACAGCUUCCUUCUUUGUCUUUCAAAAAGUAAAAUUUAGGGGCACCUGGGUGGGUCAGUUCUUAAGCAUCUGCGUUCAGCUCAGGUCAUGAUCCUGAGGUCCUGGGAUCGAGCCCCACAUCCAGCUCCCCUCUCCCACUUCCAUCGGCUUGUAUUCCUUCUCUCCUUGUCUCUUUCUCUGUCAAAUAAAUAAAUAAAUAAAAUCUUAAAAAACAAAAAAGCCCCUGAAAUUUAUUUGUAUUACAACUUUAGGGAGUCAGAGGAAUACCAAAC
RNAcentral lists this long non-coding RNA (1132 nucleotides) under Mustela putorius furo (domestic ferret). Its description in RNAcentral is "lncRNA (ENSMPUG00000031035.1)". Lineage: Eukaryota; Metazoa; Chordata; Mammalia; Carnivora; Mustelidae. The record is from RNAcentral.